UCCCGUGUGGCUCAGUUGGUAGAGCAUGGUGCUUGCAAUACCAGGGUUGUGGGUUUGAUUCCCACAGGGGAC
This is a non-coding RNA of Salmo salar (Atlantic salmon), 72 nucleotides long. Lineage: Eukaryota; Metazoa; Chordata; Actinopteri; Salmoniformes; Salmonidae. The record is from Rfam.